UACAGAGGGUGCGAGCGUUAAUCGGAAUUACUGGGCGUAAAGCGCGUGUAGGCGGUUGCCCAAGUCGGGUGUGAAAGCCUUGAGCUCAACUCAAGAAAUGCACUCGGUACUGGGUGACUAGAGGACCGGAGAGGAUAGUGGAAUUCCCAGUGUAGUGGUGAAAUACGUAGAGAUUGGGAAGAACACCAGUGGCGAAGGCGGCUAUCUGGACGGUUUCUGACGCUAAGACGCGAAAGCGUGGGGAGCAAACAGG
This 253-nucleotide ribosomal RNA is filed under the name uncultured bacterium. Its description in RNAcentral is "partial 16S ribosomal RNA". It matches the Rfam family "Bacterial small subunit ribosomal RNA", at positions 524 to 776 of the family's 1533-position model. The record is from RNAcentral.